RNAcentral lists this ribosomal RNA (253 nucleotides) under uncultured bacterium. Its description in RNAcentral is "partial 16S ribosomal RNA". It matches the Rfam family "Bacterial small subunit ribosomal RNA", at positions 524 to 776 of the family's 1533-position model. The record is from RNAcentral.
GACGAACCGUGCGAACGUUGUUCGGAAUCACUGGGCUUAAAGGGCGCGUAGGCGGGUGUGCAAGUCUGCGGUGAAAGCCUCCAGCUUAACUGGAGAAGUGCCGUGGAUACUGCUCAUCUCGAGGAGGGUAGGGGCAUCUGGAACGUUGGGUGGAGCGGUGAAAUGCGUUGAUAUCCAACGGAACUCCGGUGGCGAAGGCGAGGUGCUGGACCCUUUCUGACGCUGAGGCGCGAAAGCCAGGGGAGCGAACGGG